This 1391-nucleotide ribosomal RNA is filed under the name metagenome. RNAcentral describes it as "bacterial LSU rRNA". It matches the Rfam family "Bacterial large subunit ribosomal RNA", at positions 1509 to 2925 of the family's 2925-position model. The record is from RNAcentral.
UGUUAAAGUGCGUAGGUGUUGAGUCAGUAGGCAAAUCCGCUGAUGAACUGAAACAUGAUAGUACUCAGAUCCUUUCGGGGUGAAGAGAUAGUGACUCCAAGCAUACUUCCAAGAAAAACCUCUAAGCUUCAGGUAAUAACAGCCCGUACCAUAAACCGACACAGGUAGUCGAGGAGAAUAUCCUAAGGCGCUCGAGUGAGUCAUGGCUAAGGAACUAGGCAAAUUAGUCUCGUAACUUCGGGAAAAGAGACCCCCACUUCGGUGGGGCGCAGAGAAAUGGCCCAGGCGACUGUUUAGCAAAAACACAGGACUCUGCAAAAUCGAAAGAUGACGUAUAGGGUCUGACACCUGCCCGGUGCCGGAAGGUUAAGGAAGGGGGUUAGCGCAAGCGAAGCUCUUGACUGAAGCCCCGGUAAACGGCGGCCGUAACUAUAACGGUCCUAAGGUAGCGAAAUUCCUUGUCGGGUAAGUUCCGACCUGCACGAAUGGUGUAACGAUCUGGGCACUGUCUCAGCCAUGAGCUCGGUGAAAUUGAAGUAUCGGUGAAGAUGCCGGUUACCCGCCACGGGACGAAAAGACCCCGUGCACCUUUACUAUAGCUUCACAUUGUGCUUGAAUAUAAGAUGUGUAGGAUAGGUGGGAGACUUUGAAGCGGCCACGCUAGUGGUUGUGGAGUCAACGUUGAAAUACCACCCUUCUUCUAUUUAGGUUCUAACCCCGUACCCACGGGGGACAGUGUGUGGUGGGUAGUUUGACUGGGGUGGUCGCCUCCUAAAGAGUAACGGAGGCUUGCAAAGGUGCCCUCAGCAUGGACGGUAAUCAUGCGAAGAGCGUAUUAGUAUAAGGGCGCUUGACUGAGAGAGCGACGGCUCGACCAGGUACGAAAGUAGGCUAAAGUGAUCCGGUGUUUCCGCAUGGAAGGGACAUCGCUCAAAGGAUAAAAGGUACGCCGGGGAUAACAGGCUGAUCUCCCCCAAGAGCUCAUAUCGACGGGGAGGUUUGGCACCUCGAUGUCGGUUCGUCACAUCCUGGGGCUGAAGAAGGUCCCAAGGGUUCGGCUGUUCGCCGAUUAAAGUGGCACGUGAACUGGGUUCAGAACGUCGCAAGACAGUUCGGUCUCUAUCUGUGGUGGGCGUUGUAAUAUUGAAGGGAACUGACUCUAGUACGAGAGGACCGAGUUGGACGUACCUCUAGUGUAUCUGUUGUGCCGCCAGGUGCAAUGCAGAGUAGCUAUGUACGGACUAGAUAAGCGCUGAAAGCAUCUAAGCGCGAAGCUAUCCUUAAGAUGAGUAUUACUGGGGUCGUAGAAGACGACUACGUUGAUAGGCUAUAGGUGUAAGCGUAGUAAUACGCUCAGCUGAGUAGUACUAAUUACCCCUUAGCUUCCUUUU